Molecule: ribosomal RNA, 322 nt
Filed under: uncultured Chloroflexota bacterium
Lineage: Bacteria; Bacillati; Chloroflexota
Description: bacterial SSU rRNA
Rfam family: Bacterial small subunit ribosomal RNA
Source: RNAcentral
GAUGAACGCUGGCGGCGUGCUUAACACAUGCAAGUCGAACGUGAGGAAAUAGCAAUAUUUCUGAAAGUGGCGCACGGGUGAGUAAUACGUAGGUGACCUGCCUUGAAGUGGGGGAUAACAGUUGGAAACGACUGCUAAUACCGCAUAUUGCCGGGAUGUCGGGAGACGACCUGGUGAAAACUCUGGUGCUUCAAGAGGGGCCUACGGCCGAUUAGCUAGUUGGCGGGGUAAGAGCCCACCAAGGCGACGAUCGGUAGCUGGUCUGAGAGGACGAUCAGCCACACGGGAACUGAGACACGGUCCCGACUCCUACGGGAGGCUG